UUUUAUUUGAGAGUUUGAUCCUGGCUCAGGAUGAACGCUGGCGGCGUGCCUAACACAUGCAAGUUGAGCGAUUUACUUCGGUAAAGAGCGGCGGACGGGUGAGUAACGCGUGGGUAACCUACCCUGUACACACGGAUAACAUACCGAAAGGUAUGCUAAUACGGGAUAAUAUAUUUGAGAGGCAUCUCUUGAAUAUCAAAGGUGAGCCAGUACAGGAUGGACCCGCGUCUGAUUAGCUAGUUGGUAAGGUAACGGCUUACCAAGGCGACGAUCAGUAGCCGACCUGAGAGGGUGAUCGGCCACAUUGGAACUGAGACACGGUCCAAACUCCUACGGGAGGCAGCAGUGGGGAAUAUUGCACAAUGGGCGAAAGCCUGAUGCAGCAACG
This 388-nucleotide ribosomal RNA is filed under the name Clostridioides difficile. RNAcentral's name for it is "bacterial SSU rRNA". It matches the Rfam family "Bacterial small subunit ribosomal RNA", at positions 1 to 396 of the family's 1533-position model. Lineage: Bacteria; Bacillati; Bacillota; Clostridia; Peptostreptococcales; Peptostreptococcaceae. The record is from RNAcentral.